Molecule: transfer RNA, 92 nt
Filed under: Streptomyces daliensis
Lineage: Bacteria; Bacillati; Actinomycetota; Actinomycetes; Kitasatosporales; Streptomycetaceae
Description: tRNA-Gln
Rfam family: tRNA
About the family: Transfer RNA (tRNA) molecules are approximately 80 nucleotides in length. Their secondary structure includes four short double-helical elements and three loops (D, anti-codon, and T loops).
Source: RNAcentral
GGAGAGAUACCCGAAGCGGCCUAACGGGAGCUGGGCUCUGCUCCAGCUUGGGGUCUGACCCCUCGCAGGUUCAAAUCCUGCUCUCUCCGCCA